RNAcentral lists this ribosomal RNA (663 nucleotides) under uncultured cyanobacterium. Its description in RNAcentral is "bacterial SSU rRNA". It matches the Rfam family "Bacterial small subunit ribosomal RNA", at positions 99 to 795 of the family's 1533-position model. Lineage: Bacteria; Bacillati; Cyanobacteriota. The record is from RNAcentral.
CGGACGGGUGAGUAACGCGUGAGAAUCUGCCUUCAGGACGGGGAUAACAGUUGGAAACGACUGCUAAGACCGGAUGUGCCGAGAGGUGAAAUAUUUAUAGCCUGAAGAUGAGCUCGCGUCCGAUUAGCUAGUUGGUAAGGUAAAAGCGUACCAAGGCGACGAUCGGUAGCUGGUCUGAGAGGACGAUCAGCCACACUGGGACUGAGACACGGCCCAGACUCCUACGGGAGGCAGCAGUGGGGAAUUUUCCGCAAUGGGCGAAAGCCUGACGGAGCAAGACCGCGUGGGGGAGGAAGGUUCUUGGAUUGUAAACCCCUUUUCUCAGGGAAGAACACAAUGACGGUACCUGAGGAAUCAGCAUCGGCUAACUCCGUGCCAGCAGCCGCGGUAAUACGGAGGAUGCAAGCGUUAUCCGGAAUAAUUGGGCGUAAAGCGUCCGUAGGUGGCUGUUCAAGUCUGCCGUUAAAGACCGGGGCUUAACCCUGGAAAGGCGGUGGAAACUGAACGGCUAGAGUGCAGUAGGGGUAGAGGGAAUUCCCAGUGUAGCGGUGAAAUGCGUAGAGAUUGGGAAGAACACCGGUGGCGAAAGCGCUCUGCUGGACUGCAACUGACACUGAGGGACGAAAGCUAGGGGAGCGAAUGGGAUUAGAUACCCCAGUAGUC